This 468-nucleotide ribosomal RNA is filed under the name uncultured bacterium. RNAcentral describes it as "partial 16S ribosomal RNA". It matches the Rfam family "Bacterial small subunit ribosomal RNA", at positions 28 to 507 of the family's 1533-position model. The record is from RNAcentral.
GACGAACGCUGGCGGCGUGCUUAACACAUGCAAGUCGAACGGAAAGGCCCUGCUUUUGUGGGGUGCUCGAGUGGCGAACGGGUGAGUAACACGUGAGUAACCUGCCCUUGACUUUGGGAUAACUUCAGGAAACUGGGGCUAAUACCGGAUAGGAGCUCCUGCUGCAUGGUGGGGGUUGGAAAGUUUCGGCGGUCGGGGAUGGACUCGCGGCUUAUCAGCUUGUUGGUGGGGUAGUGGCUUACCAAGGCUUUGACGGGUAGCCGGCCUGAGAGGGUGAGCGGCCACGAUGGGACCGAGAUUCGGCCCGGACGCCGACGUGAGGCAGCAUGGGGGAUGAUUGCACAACUGGCGGAGCCCUGAUGCGGCAACGCCGCGGGCCUGAUGAUGGCCAUCGGGUGGAAUGCCACAUUCACCUGUAACGAAGCGUACAUGACGGUAACUGGUAAAGAAGCACCGGCUAACUACGUG